GAAUUCAGCGCUCUGCAAUCAUGUGAGGCCAGCAUCUUUUACCGUCUCUGCCCAGAGAUGCAAGAGUCGCGUUUCCCUUGAAGGGCAUCCUGGCUGCCUGGGAGUCGCCUUCCUUGGAACUGAGCUAACUCCGUUAUUCUGAUUCACAUGGACUCAUUCCUUACGAUUUCUUCUUGCUGUUCUUUGAACUACUGUCAAGCACUGUGUUACUUCACCCCUGCUUUUCGAGCUGUAUAUCUUCCUGCGACCUGUCUAUGGAUGCUCUGGGGUGAGAAGCAGCUCUUGCAUGACCGGUGGCUAUCUCCAUACGUCCGCUACCAUGCAGGUGAAGCUUUCAGUUUCAAAAUGAUGACUGAUCAUGGGAUUAAUAAGAUGCAUUGUCCCCAGGAAAAUGUGUGCACUCAUGGAGAACCUCACUGACAUAGCUGCAGAGAGCUAAGCCUAGCCCACAAGAAUUCCUGGCGUGGACUCCAUCAGGACCUAGGAAGGGUCACAGAGUGCUCUGAUGUAUGCUGCCUGCAGUAUGAGCCGAGGAGCUUUUUGAAAGUCUGGGAGAAUUUGACCAGAGACACCUUUAACAGUACCAUCUCCAAAACCUCUCAUGCACAAGUGCAGCGAGACUUCCAGCAAAUCAGCUGAGGAUUUACAAGGAGAAUUAGGCUAACAGAAAAAGAAGAAACAUCUCAUAUUGGA
This is a long non-coding RNA of Dromaius novaehollandiae (emu), 693 nucleotides long. RefSeq lists it as uncharacterized. The record is from RefSeq and is a predicted model, not a curated record. The transcript is spliced from 5 exons. Lineage: Eukaryota; Metazoa; Chordata; Aves; Casuariiformes; Dromaiidae.